Long non-coding RNA from Poecilia latipinna (sailfin molly), 939 nucleotides. RefSeq lists it as uncharacterized. The transcript has 2 exons. Lineage: Eukaryota; Metazoa; Chordata; Actinopteri; Cyprinodontiformes; Poeciliidae. The record is from RefSeq and is a predicted model, not a curated record.
AGGCUACUCAGAUUUAACUUUUAGGUUUCUGCAGUUAAAGUGAGAGACAAACUCUAACAUUGAUCCCUUUCCAGAAUUUGUCCUCUCAUCAUUGUGAAUUCUACUUUCCUUCAGUCUUUUUCCUGUUGUUGAAUCAACACUGAUCUUCUCAGUGCUUCAUGCUUUCUCCAAAAUAGUAAAGUUUUCCCCAAAGUUUAAAGUUUUUUACAGUGCACAGCCAGGCUCCAAGAGUUGCUCCAACAUGGUAAAUUGUUUUGUUACCUUUAAAAUUAUCUACAGCUUUUGAUGCUCUCUGUUCACUAAUGUUCAUUAACAUACAGUACAUGUCUUGUAAUUGAUAAGCUUAUAAAUGAUCAAUGUGAAGCAUCAGUAUGCGUUCAAGAAGAUCACAUCAGUCAGAUUAAAUAAAAUAUCAUGAUACUCAAAGCAAUCAAAAUUAUAGUUCACAGAAAGGUAAUGUUUCCUUUUCAGGGAGCUUAGACUGUAUGAAAAGAACGAUUGAAAUAUACUAUGAAAAUAUUCAAUUUGCAGAAUCCUGAUGAUUAAACUUCAAUUGUGAACUGAAUGAUUAGAUUGUAUCUAGACACAAAAGAAUCAACUGUUAAUUAGUAACCAUACUAUGGAAAUGACCACCAAGAUCUGAACAAACAAGAAACUUGACUAUCUCAAGAGAUUUCUCACGUAAUGAACCGUCUGACUUUCUUUAGUCGACUAAAUUUAAUCUUACCACAUUUUUGCUGUAGAGCAAACAGGUACUGAGUUUGAAGCCUGGAUCAGAUGCCUCCAGCCGUCUGCUAAAGCUAGACUCCGGCCUUUCUCACUGUAAAAUAAAACAUUCUGCUUAAUUAAAGAGUUCAAGUGAACAUCACUUCAUUCUCAUCAACUUGUUGUUUGUUCUCAUCUUAAACAAGCGGCAGGAACUUUUGGAUUUAAAAAAGA